Molecule: long non-coding RNA, 2707 nt
Filed under: Mus musculus (house mouse)
Lineage: Eukaryota; Metazoa; Chordata; Mammalia; Rodentia; Muridae
Description: long non-coding RNA chr12:24893442-24896149
Source: RNAcentral
UUUUUUUUUUUUCUCUUUCUUCUUUUUCAAAAUUUCAAGUGAUCCACAUGAUGGUUUUUUAAAACCAGUCUCUAGUUUCUGUGAUCUAUAAAUUUGACAUCCUCUAGUCAUACGAACAUGUACACACAUCAACUUUAAAAAAUAAAAAAAAGGAUAAUUCUUGAGGCAUAAAGAUGCGGGGUGGAAAGGAGCCAAGGAAGGGAGGCUGACUGGGCAUGUGGCCUCUGCUGGGAGUCUGGUCUGGCCUUUAGGACUUCCCCGGUGAAGAACCUCUGCUUCUGUUUUAUCCAUUAUCCUCCCAGCUUGGGGUACCAGGAUGGGGGCCGGGGGUGGGCGGAGGAGAGGACCUCAUCUUUGCUCUCUGGUCGUCUGCCUUGUUCUCCUCCAAGAGUCAGGCUAGGAGACAGGAAUGAACCCUCCUCCUCUCUCCCCACAUCACAGAGCUGCCUUGGCUUCGCUUUCCUCUUGGGUCAUUCUGGGCACUGGGCAUUUCUAAGCAUUUGAGAGAGUGCCCAGCAUGUGCUAAGGCCCCAGAGGCUGGCAGUGAGCAUUGGCUAUUAUUCUCUCCCUCCUGACACCUUGGGCCACCAUUGCUCCUCUUUGUUCUUGUACCUGGCCACUUGUCAGCUGUCCCAGCUCUGCCCUGUCCUGUGCCCUGGCUGCCCAGGUGGCCUUUCUAAAUGUCCUUCUGAUCACUCCUCCCUCCUGCUUCAGACUCUGAGUUGGCAGCUUUGCCGAGGCUUUGCGGCUGCCCCGCCUGCCUGUGCACUCUCAGUUCAUAGCACUGACUCCUUGGCUGCUGCCAGACCAGCCAUAAUGAACCGUUUGUAGUUGUAUACACACCCCCUACUGUUCUGCACUCUGCUCCUUUGUGUUUGCUGGGCACCCCACCCCCACGUGAAUUCCUGCUGGCCUUUCCCAGCCCUGUCUGCCUGACCCUGGAGGGCCCUUUCCCUUCUCUAGUGGAGUGAGUUACUGCUUUGCACAACUGGCAAGCUGCCUGUGUUACGGACGCUGCAGGAGAACCCUUGCUCUCAGGUGGUGUGGCACCACGGCUCAGUCAAGUCCCUUCACCUCGUUGGUUGAUGUGACAGACUGUCCAGGUUACCCAGCUCCUGUCACCUCUUUCCUCAUUGUUAAGUCAGGAGUAAUAGAGAUGACGUUCAUUGGAUUGUCUGAGAAUCUAAUGAGACCCCUGAAUUAGUCAGGGUUGUCUAGAGGAACAGAGCUGAUAGAAUGUCUGUCUGUCUGUCUGUGGGAUUUAUUUAUUAGAGUGGUUUGUAGGUUGUGGUCCAGCUAGUCCAACAAUGGCUGCCUACCCAUGGAAAGUCCAAGAGUUUAGUAAUUGUUCAGUCCAUGAGGCUGGAUGUCUCUGCUGGUCUUCACUACCUGCUGGACUCCCAAAGAAGUAUGCUCUAAUGCCAGUGAAGGAACAAAUUUGCCAGUGAGGAUGAGGGCGAGCAGGCAGAGUGGCAGCUUCCUUUUCUGCGUCCUUCAUUUAGUCUGUCAGCAGAAGGUGUAGCCCAGAUUAAAGGUGUGUCUUCUACCUCAGGAGAUCCAGAUUCAAGGAGGGUCUUCCAUUUCAAAAGAUUUAAUUAGGAAAACUCCCUCCCAGGUGUAUGCAUCCGCUUGGGUUUUAGACCCCUUGUUAAUGUACACAGAAUUACAUCUCCUUAUAGCAUGCUUAAUUUCCAAAUGAAAACAAUAACCAGGUCAUAAUGUUGCCUGACAUGAUAAAACUAUCCCAGGUACAAACCACAAAUGUAUUAUACAUUUUAGAAUAGGUGACAAUGUUUCUUGAGAGACAUUCUUUUAGUAUCUCAGGAUUUAAAUAUGAGAAUCAUUGAUAUUCUUUUAAUUGGUGUUAUUACAUUAUGUAAUAAAUCCGGAAGGGAAAUACAGAUAUCUGCCCAAACACAUUCUUAACAAAAUGUGACAGAAAUACUCAAGCCAAUUAUAAUCGUCUUCCUGCAACUGCAUGGCCUUAGCUGGUAUUUAUAACUACCUUCCUCUACUACUGUAGUCCCUCCAUGCUCUGUAAGCACCUCAGAGUCUUGGCUCUUGUCCUGGAGGAGUGACUCAUAUCUUCAUUCCUGAAGGGCCUGUACACUUUGACAUCCUGCCUGGAUUAGGCUGUUGUAGUCUCCUAUUGACUUUUAAUCAUAGGACGUGGUAGCACCAAGAAGUGCCCUGAAGGCUCUCUGGCACUCCAGACAUAAUCUUUCUUACCUCCGUUGUGGAGAAGCAGUCCGGUUUCCCCUUGGUAAUCUGGACCAGUCACCCCAUUAUUCCUUUCUUAGCGUGUUGGCUUAAUGGCAUCAGAAGGCCAGAUUGGCCAGGGGUUUGUCUGAGCUCCCGGUUCAGUGAGAUGUUUGUUGUGACUCCUGGCAGGGUUGCUCCCCACUCUAGAACCAAAACUUCUAGGUCAGCAGAACUUAAAGUUUUUGCAGUGGGAUACUCGGGGUGAUGGUCACGGGAAUCAUCUUCCCCUUCAUCCCUUCUGCACCCGUGGAUCCCACUGAUUGAAGAAAUUGUACCACAUAGUGGACACAUAAUGGGGACCCCAGGCCUCUAAGCUGCUGCCACCUAAUUGGCCCUGCAAUUGUGCUUCGAAAGGCCAUUCCAUCAUUCUGCUUCAGGAUGGUGGGGAACAUGGCAAGACCAGUGGAUUCUAGGACUUAAUUGUUUUAUUGUUUUAUGUACCACC